UACGUAGGUGGCGAGCGUUGACCGGAAUUACUGGGUGUAAAGCGCGUGUAGGCGGGAGGCCAAGUCUGUGGUGAAAUCGCUCGGCUUAACUGGGCGGGGUCCAUGGAAACUGGUCACCUGGAGGUCGGUAGAGGCAAGUGGAAUUCCCGGUGUAGUGGUGAAAUGCGUAGAGAUCGGGAGGAACACCAGUGGCGAAGGCGGCUUGCUGGGCCGGACCUGACGCUGAGACGCGAAGGCGUGGGGAGCGAACGGG
Molecule: ribosomal RNA, 253 nt
Filed under: uncultured bacterium
Lineage: Bacteria
Description: partial 16S ribosomal RNA
Rfam family: Bacterial small subunit ribosomal RNA
Source: RNAcentral